GUCGAGCGAGGACUUCGGUUCUAGCGGCGGACGGGUUAGUAACGCGUGGGAACGUACCCUUUUCUACGGAAUAGCCUCGGGAAACUGAGAGUAAUACCGUAUACGCCCUUAGGGGGAAAGAUUUAUCGGAGAAGGAUCGGCCCGCGUUAGAUUAGAUAGUUGGUGGGGUAAUGGCCUACCAAGUCUACGAUCUAUAGCUGGUUUGAGAGGAUGAUCAGCAACACUGGGACUGAGACACGGCCCAGACUCCUACGGGAGGCAGCAGUGGGGAAUCUUAGACAAUGGGCGCAAGCCUGAUCUAGCCAUGCCGCGUGAGUGAUGAAGGCCUUAGGGUCGUAAAGCUCUUUCGCCUGUGAAGAUAAUGACUGUAGCAGGUAAAGAAACCCCGGCUAACUCCGUGCCAGCAGCCGCGGUAAUACGGAGGGGGUUAGCGUUGUUCGGAAUUACUGGGCGUAAAGCGCGCGUAGGCGGACAUUUAAGUCAGAGGUGAAAUCCCAGAGCUCAACUCUGGAACGGCCUUCAAUACUUCCAGUCUAGAGUCCGUAAGGGGGUGGUGGAAUUCCGAGUGUAGAGGUGAAAUUCGUAGAUAUUUGGAGGAACACCAGUGGCGAAGGCGG
RNAcentral lists this ribosomal RNA (617 nucleotides) under uncultured bacterium. RNAcentral describes it as "bacterial SSU rRNA". It matches the Rfam family "Bacterial small subunit ribosomal RNA", at positions 61 to 724 of the family's 1533-position model. The record is from RNAcentral.